This 64-nucleotide transfer RNA is filed under the name Mileewa amplimacula. Its description in RNAcentral is "tRNA-Phe". Lineage: Eukaryota; Metazoa; Arthropoda; Insecta; Hemiptera; Cicadellidae. The record is from RNAcentral.
AUUUUUAUAGCUUAAAUUAAGAGUAUAAUAUUGAAAAUAUUAAGGUGACUAAAUUCUAAAAAUA